GACGGGUGAGUAAUGCCUGGGAAUCUGCCUGGUAGUGGGGGAUAACGUCCGGAAACGGGCGCUAAUACCGCGUACGUCCUACGGGAGAAAGCAGGGGAUCUUCGGACCUUGCGCUACCAGAUGAGCCCAGGCCGGAUUAGCUUGCUGGUGAGGUAAUGGCUCACCAAGGCGACGAUCCGUAACUGGUCUGAGAGGAUGAUCAGUCACACUGGAACUGAGACACGGUCCAGACUCCUACGGGAGGCAGCAGUGGGGAAUAUUGGACAAUGGGGGCAACCCUGAUCCAGCCAUGCCGCGUGUGUGAAGAAGGUCUUCGGAUUGUAAAGCACUUUAAGUUGGGAGGAAGGGCUUGCGGUUAAUACCUGCAAGUUUUGACGUUACCGACAGAAUAAGCACCGGCUAACUCUGUGCCAGCAGCCGCGGUAAUACAGAGGGUGCAAGCGUUAAUCGGAAUUACUGGGCGUAAAGCGCGCGUAGGUGGUUCAGUAAGAUGGAAGUGAAAUCCCCGGGCUCAACCUGGGAACUGCUUUCAUAACUGCUGGGCUAGAGUACGGUAGAGGGUAGUGGAAUUUCCUGUGUAGCGGUGAAAUGCGUAGAUAUAGGAAGGAACACCAGUGGCGAAGGCGACUACCUGGACUGGUACUGACACUGAGGUGCGAAAGCGUGGGGAGCAAACAGGAUUAGAUACCCUGGUAGUCCACGCCGUAAACGAUGUCAACUAGCCGUUGGAGUCCUUGAGACUUUAGUGGCGCAGCUAACGCACUAAGUUGACCGCCUGGGGAGUACGGUCGCAGGAUUAAACUCAAAUGAAUUGACGGGGCCCGCACAA
RNAcentral lists this ribosomal RNA (829 nucleotides) under uncultured bacterium. RNAcentral describes it as "bacterial SSU rRNA". It matches the Rfam family "Bacterial small subunit ribosomal RNA", at positions 100 to 928 of the family's 1533-position model. The record is from RNAcentral.